CCAUAUCACUAGUUCCCCUGCGAUCACUGAAGUUAAGCAAUGUCGAGCUUGGUCAGUACCUAGAUGUGUGACCAUUUGGGAAUAGCAGAUACUGUAAG
Non-coding RNA from Acanthosepion pharaonis, 98 nucleotides. Lineage: Eukaryota; Metazoa; Mollusca; Cephalopoda; Sepiida; Sepiidae. The record is from the annotation of a GenBank genome assembly.